ACAUACGGAAUGGCAGGCGCGUAUUAUAUGUAAUUUGAGCCUGUGUAGGUUAGUGUCUAUCAUAUGUGUCUCCCGUGCCCUGUAGGCCGGUCAUGGUAGACAGCCAGAGGGACUCGUCAAGCACAGCCAACAGUCGAACCAGGAAGUGGGUGUCCCCGCGUCCGUAAACAACAUGGCUGUGCUCGGCGAUCGUGAACUGUUGCAGGCUCGAGAAGAGGAGAGGAUGGCAGGUGCCCGUCCACUACCCACUCAGGAACUAUUUAAGAUGGCAAACCAGAUGGAGGUGGUCACGUACGUCGGGGACAUCACGACGAUAAGUGACGCCAGUGGCGUUGUGACGGGGGAAGGGCUGGAGUUUGAACAUGAUAGUUUUGUCACAAGGGCUCUGAAAGAAAAUUCAAGUGAAUUUGCUGUGAAAAGAGAAGAACUAAAGGGGAAAGCAAGACGUUUCAAGUCGUGGUCAGUUCACACCACGAUACUAUCUGAACCAUCGCCAUUUAGUUAUGUCUUUCACGCCGUCAUCAAAAGCCCUGACCAUACCAACAGAUGGGUGAAGAAAACGGAACACUUAUACAAGACAAUAAUGAAGAAAGCAGAGAAGAAUGAUGUGAAAGUGUUGGCUAUUCCUCUUCUUGGUACAGGUCGAGGUGGUGCAUCUCCAGCAGACGCUGCCCAGGCCGCUGUGAAAGCCGUGGCUAAGUUUGACAACCAGCGCCUGCAGAAGGUGUUUUUGGUUACAAUCGACAAAUCCAUCGGCGACACAUUGUAUACCCAGUGUGAAUACCAAGGAAGUCCUCUCUGCCGUGAGAAAAACUUUAAACGUCGAAACUCCAUUAGGAGGUUUUUUUGUGGAGGUUCAAGAACACAGGAUGAGGAUAGGGCUAGCUAUGGGAAGGCACCAAUGGACAACCGUCCACGUUCUAACCGUAACAAAGACCAGAAUCACAGCCGUCCGGUCGAGAAGUACACACAAAUUGGAGAUGAAAGGAGAGAUGAAACCAAUUUUCACCGAAAUCAAUAUACAGGAUCGAUCGAGGGAAAUGAGAAUCACAACAGAUAUAGACCAGAAAGUGAGUAUGCCGGUAGGUGUAGAAAAGUAUCAACAGACUACCGUUCAGGUUCUCACCGCAACAGAUACCAGAACCGCAGAUACCCGGAUGAGGGGUACGGACCAAUUACCCAUGGGUAUGAAGAUAGUGAGAGUGAUGAAACCUUUAUACAUACAGGAGCGGUGAACACAAGUGAGAAACGCCACAGAGAUAGGCGAUCUGAAACGGUUCCAGGUUCACGUACUGUGAAUGACCAAGGUUGGUCAAUGGGACCGGGAUCUUCUAGGGCAGCGGUAUGGGAUAAUGCUUUCAUGCCUGACCGUGAAAACAGAUGUGACACACGAGAAGCAGGGCACAGGCAUGUAGAUGGACAGGGUGAUGAUUAUGGAAGACCAGUAAAGACCAUGCAGACAAACCCGGGUGACACGACACACAGAAAUAAUGCACAUCGCGAAGGAGUUGAUGGGCAUGGACAGGAAAGGGAAGGCUACUCUGGGUACAACAAAGCAAACAAUGAGACCAUGUUUUCUUUACCGGACCGAAAUCACAAUGGCGAUACAAGGGGUGAAUCUGGAAACAGGUCGCUGAACGUUGCUGACGUACAUUCAAGUCACAUCCCAUCACAAUCUUUUCCAAGGCAUUCCAGGUCAGAUCCUGUAUCUUUUCGUGCAAUGUUACAGGCAAACAUCUAUAACGCGCCCCACCGGGACACCACACAUGACAGCCAUCAUUUGAGUUACAAGGGAUACUCCACUGAUAGACAUGGCGAUGAUGGUAGGCGACAACAACAGUGGCAACAAUCCAAGACAACCAAGGCAACUCUUGUCGUCGGUCAGACAUGUUUGGAUGAAAGCGCAUCUGGAUUUGAUCACAAUGGCAGUGUCCUCCAUGGCACUAGUCGCUCACCCUAUCCAUUGACCGUCAACCUUGAUGCCGUCGGCGGAGAGCUAAGGAAUGUAAGACAUUCUUCAAUUACAGACAGGAUACGAGGCAUGGAUAAUUCCACCAGACCAGAAGUCGUAAUAAAGAUUGAAAUCAAUGGAGUUCCCUAUGGGGAUAGUACAGUCCCGCCUGGAAAUAGCAGUGGGAAGGUAGCAAGGAAGGGAAGUAGCAAUGAUGUCAAGCUCUUUGAUAUGAGUGAUACCAGAAGUCCUAUUUAUAUUGGCCCAAUCACAGACCCAAAAUGGCUGAAGAAAUGCGGCCAUGUGUUCUGUCGGGAGUGCAUAGAUGACAGCUUCAAGAAGUUCAAACCCGUGUGUCCCAGCUGCAACAUGGUGUAUGGCGUCCUGACGGGGAACCAGCCGGAGGGGUCCAUGGAUGUCGCCUUCAGCGGGGAGCACCUGCCUGGGUAUGAGACCUGUGGCACCAUCAGUAUCACAUACCAUCUGCCUAGUGGCAUACAGAGGGAAGACCACCCGAACCCAGGACAGCCCUACAAGGGAACAACGAGACGAACUUUCCUGCCAGACUGCCGAGAAGGAAGAGAUGUUCUCCGUCUCCUGAGGAAAGUGUUUGACAGGAAGUUAACCUUUACCAUCGGUCGUUCUACAACUACCGGUCAAGAGAAUGUCGUAACGUGGAACGACAUCCACCAUAAGACGAACAUAGAAGGUGGACCCACGAGUCUUGGCGACAGCUUCGAGAAGUUCAAACCCGUGUGUCCCAGUUGCAACAUAGUGUAUGGCGUCCUGACGGGGAACCAGCCGAAGGGGUCCAUGGAUGUCACCUUCAGCGGGGAGCACCUGCCUGGGUAUGAGACCUGUGGCACCAUCAGUAUCACAUACCAUCUGCCUAGUGGCCUACAGAGGGAAGACCACCCGAACCCAGGACAGCCCUACAAGGGAACAACGAGACGAGCUUUCCUGCCAGACUGCCGUGAAGGUAGAGAUGUUCUCCGCCUCCUGAGGAAGGCGUUUGACAGGAAGUUAACCUUUACCAUCGGUCGUUCUACAACUACCGGUCAAGAGAAUGUCGUAACGUGGAACGACAUCCACCAUAAGACGAACAUGGAAGGUGGACCUACGAGAUUCGGCUACCCCGACCCAGGCUAUCUGGAGCGGGUGAAGGACGAGCUUGCCAGCAAGGGCGUGACGGAAAACAUAGAGACGACGUUUUAGCGGACUCCGUCGUCUCUGAAUGACCUUCAGGUGUCGAGAGAAGCAUAGACAUCAUAGCCACACCACGUAUUGUUUGAGAAUGUCUGUAUUUGUGUUCCAUGUGUGAUAGGAAGGUGUUAUAUAUCCUAUUACUAUAAAAUCGAUCUAUAAAUCGAUCUAAAAUCGAACCCAUUUCUAUUCCCAAGGAAUAGUUAUUGUUCCUAUAUAUAAAAGUGACCAAACCCUCUCAACAACAUAUGAAAUCUCUGCUGUAAGCAGAAUCCAUUGUGCGAUUCCUACGAUAUCAUAACCAAGUUUUUAUGAAUCACUCUAAAAUAGUGAUGAUACCAGGUGUUAGGUGAAAGACGAGUCUAUCCAAUGUGAGCGUAUCGUGCCCGAAUGGGGGAACCCGUCACAAACACAUGGGAAGGCACGUCGUUUGAUCGCCUGAAAAGACGAUGGAACAUAUAGAAACAACAAUCUUCGACUAUUUUGGAGGACCCUAUGCCUGCGUUAUAUGGGGGUUGACGGAAGCAGUGCAGAGUGAAGGGACGGAAGAGCUAUUAUAAUCAGAUGUCGUUAGGCAAUAUAUUAUGUGUAUAUUUGUAUAUCCUGUGCACAUUCGUUUACAAUGUCCUUUGCAUGUUUACACAGAUUUUUUCUAGGUUGUGUAUUCAUGGUUGUCAGUGAUGUAUUUAAGGAUUUUGAAUAUUACGUUGUCAGUCAUAAAACAUAAAGUAGUUUAUUGAUGUUAUUGAAACGAUACGUUUUCUUAUUUAACAAAUUCACGAUUGUCCGUUGUUGCUGGUACCUUAGCGUCACCCUACAUGCAUCAAUUACGUCACCCUACACACUUCAAUGUACGUCACCCUAAAUACUUCAAUGUACGUCACUCUACAUGCAUCAAUGUACGUCACCCUACAUGCAUCAAUGUACGUCACCCUACAUGCUUCAAUGUACGUCACCCUACAUGCUUCAAUGUACGUCACCCUACAUACUUCAAUGUACGUCAUCCUACAUACAGCAAUGUAGGUCACCCUACAUACAGCAAUGUAUGUCGCCCUACAUACAGCAAUGUAGGUCACCCUACAUACAGCAAUGUAGGUCACCCUACAUACAGCAAUGUACGUCGCCCUACAUACAGCAAUGUAGGUCACCCUACAUACAGCAAUGUACGUCACUCUACAUACUUCAAUGUACGUCACCCUACAUACAGCAAUGUAUGUCGCCCUACAUACAGCAAUGUAUGUCGCCCUACAUGCUUCAAUGUACGUCACCCUACAUGCUUCACUGUACGUCACCCUACAUGCAUCAAUGUACGUCACUCUACAUACUUCAAUGUACGUCACCCUACAUACAGCGAUGUACGUCACUCUACAUACUUCAAUGUACGUCACCCUACAUACAGCAAUGUACGUCACCCUACAUACAGCAAUGUACGUCACCCUACAUACAGCAAUGUACGUCGCCCUACAUACAGCAAUGUAGGUCACCCUACAUACAGCAAUGUAGGUCACGUUACAUACAGCAAUGCACGUCAUCCCAUAUGCACUAAUGUGCAUGACCCUACAUCCAAUAUACGUUGGCAUACAUUAUAUUAGCUAACUACUUAUAUAUUCUACGUAAUUCACUUUACCCUAUCGGCAUGGCAAUUCCUGAUUAGAACAUUGGUAUGAUGUUGUUUGUUGUUUGCUUAUGUGAAACUUCGCAGAUAAACGCUCACUAAUUCUCA
Molecule: unclassified non-coding RNA, 4877 nt
Filed under: Haliotis rufescens (red abalone)
Lineage: Eukaryota; Metazoa; Mollusca; Gastropoda; Lepetellida; Haliotidae
Description: uncharacterized LOC124131666, transcript variant X5
Source: RNAcentral